Long non-coding RNA from Diceros bicornis minor, 207 nucleotides. RefSeq lists it as uncharacterized. NCBI's taxonomy places the organism in Eukaryota, Metazoa, Chordata, Mammalia, Perissodactyla, Rhinocerotidae. The transcript is spliced from 2 exons. The record is from RefSeq and is a predicted model, not a curated record.
CGAGAGGCCUCGGUGGCGCAAGAGGACCUUGCAGACACCGUGGAGACGCGAAAGGGGAACAGUCUUCCCCAAGCCCGGAGGCUGGAGGAGGGCCAGAAAGAGGCGGAAAGCGACACCGAGAAUCCAUUCCAAACGAGCAGCCAAGAGGAGACGCGGCAGCUCCCAGAUGUUGAUAUUUUGUUUUUUGACAUAAAUCUUUGCACUCAU